AAGCUAAGCGGCGCUGGUGAAGCGGCUCAUCAGGUCUAUCAGGAAACCUGAGAAUUGGAGUGAGAAUCCCAGUGUGGAAAAUCAGGAAAGAGGCUGGUAUGAGCGACAGAGAAGUCAUUCAGGAAAGAGGUUAUUGAAUUCAUUGGAGAAUGAAUGCUGUUCUGAAUUUGGCUAUGAAGUUUGUGAAUUUUUCCAAAUUGUCACAAUCUCCAAAAAAUUUUCCAUUAUAUUUACUGAAAAAAAUGCAUACAAGUGGACUCAUGCAGUUCAAACCCAUGGUGUUCAAAGUAUCUUAAGGGAAAUACUACAAAAUGUCGCAGAAGGUGCUGGAUGGAUAUCUAAAGUUCAAAAAGGAAGAGAACCACACGAGCUGGAGAUUCAGGAAGCAUCAGUAGAAGUCAAUGGCCAUUAAUAAAAACAUUUUUUAUUAAAAUAUUGAAUCUGAAUAGAAACCUCCUGUACUUCAUUUCUUAAAUCCCUUGAGGGUAGUAACUGCAUCUUCUCCAUUGAUAUAGCCCCUGCCAAGCACAGUGCCUGAAGGCAGGUCCACAGACAUUGGCUGAAUAAACGAGUGCUCUGUUCCCAGUCCGUACUUUCUCUGUGUCAUAAAAAAGCUGACAUGUCUGUGCUGCAUUUGAGGAUGACACUGGAUUUCCACAUUGCCUUUUCGCCUCAGAGCUUAUAUUACUUCCUAUCAAGUUAUCUCUCUGCCCCUCAUCGCAUCCCAGUGAGAAAGCAGAAAAUCCUAGAAAGUCAUUUUCCUUACUGUUCCGGUGGUGGCUCUUCACGCUUACAGAACGUUAGGUACACUGGGAACAUCACCUAGAGGGACACUGACAUCACCUCAUCAUAACAUAUGUCUC
This 863-nucleotide long non-coding RNA is filed under the name Homo sapiens (human). Its description in RNAcentral is "HSALNT0322571". The record is from RNAcentral. Lineage: Eukaryota; Metazoa; Chordata; Mammalia; Primates; Hominidae.